AACGAACGCUGGCGGCACGCCUCAUACAUGCAAGUCGAGCGCGAAACCACCUUCGGGUGGCGUAAAGCGGCGAACGGGUGAGUAACAGGUGGGUAACCUGCCUUUUGGUGUGGGACAACAGCUGGAAACGGCUGCUAAUACCGCAUGUGAUUGCGCGCUCAUGGCGCGUAAGGAAAGACGCUUCACGGCGUCGCCAUAAGAUGGGCCCGCCCCCAUUAGCUAGUUGGUGAGGUAAAGGCUCACCAAGGCGACGAUCCGUAGCGGGUCUGAGAGGACGACCCGCCACACUGGAACUGAGACACGGUCCAGACACCUACGGGUGGCUGCAGUCGAGAAUCCUUCGCAAUGGGGGGAAACCCCUGACGAAGCGACGCCGCGUGUAGGAUGAAGGCCUCGGUUGUAAACGUACUAGUCAGCUGGAAGAAGAUUCGGUUAA
Molecule: ribosomal RNA, 436 nt
Filed under: uncultured bacterium
Lineage: Bacteria
Description: bacterial SSU rRNA
Rfam family: Bacterial small subunit ribosomal RNA
Source: RNAcentral